UAAUGCCAUUUGGUAUCUGACACAUGGUCUGCUCUUGUGACUAUUAGUCUCGAAAUAUGGCAUAAAACCAAGGGGGAACGGAUCUUGCGACAUUGGUGGUUCCUCUAUGAUCCUCCAAUUACUAUAUAGCCGUUUACCAUU
RNAcentral lists this small nucleolar RNA (141 nucleotides) under Oryza sativa Indica Group (long-grained rice). RNAcentral describes it as "Small nucleolar RNA F1/F2/snoR5a". It matches the Rfam family "Small nucleolar RNA F1/F2/snoR5a". From Rfam's summary of the family: This family contains F1, F2 and snoR5a sequences, all of which are members of the the H/ACA class of snoRNA that guide the sites of modification of uridines to pseudouridines. The record is from Rfam by way of RNAcentral. Lineage: Eukaryota; Viridiplantae; Streptophyta; Magnoliopsida; Poales; Poaceae.